Rhincodon typus (whale shark) is the source of this 877-nucleotide long non-coding RNA. RefSeq lists it as uncharacterized. The record is from RefSeq and is a predicted model, not a curated record. The transcript has 2 exons. Lineage: Eukaryota; Metazoa; Chordata; Chondrichthyes; Orectolobiformes; Rhincodontidae.
UAAAGCACCCUAAACGCAAGCAGCCUGAUAAAGGCCCGAAGGAAAACUUGACUAUGUCAAGAUCUCAAAUGUGUCUUUUCCUUCAGAGAUAGUAGGAACUGCAGAUGCUGGAGAAUCCGAGACAACAAGGUACAGAGCUGGAUGAACACAGCAGGCUAAGCAGCAUCAUAGGAGCAGAAAGGCUGACGUCUCGGGCCGAGCAGAUGUUUGCUCAAUUUAACCCAGCAAGCCUUUGGUGAAAAGUUAUUAGACAUGUAUAUUCUCCUAAUCAUGAAGGAAGUGGGAUUAUAUUUUCCACGCUUCAAUUCCAUGCAUCAAUCUGCUGACUGAUCCAGAAUCUACAGAAUUUUGGCAGACGACAACCAAUGCAUCCACUAUUUCCAAGACCACCCCCUGGGAUAUAGAUUAUCAUGAUCUAGUGUUGUUAUCAGCUAUCGGUCCUAUUAAUUUCUCCAGCGCUUUUUAAACUGAUACUAAUUUCCUUCAGCUCCUCUUUCCCUCAUGCUUCUCCAAUAUUUUUGAGAAGUUAUUUGUAUGUCCUUGUGUGAGAAAAGAAAUAAAGAAUUUGUUCAGUUCCUCUGCCAUUUCCUUGUUCGUCAUUGUCAAUUCUCCCAUUUCAGACUGUAAAGGACCUAUAUUUGUCGUACCAGUAUUUUCCUUUCUCAUACGUUUAGAAACUCUUACAGUCCACGCAGUCAAACACUAUGCUUAGUCCUUAAGUUCUAUACAUGGGUGACGUUUGGUGGUCAUGUAAGGUUUAUGUUUUCUUUUUGGCUGGUUAGUGGAUACAUUUUUUCUGGUAGCAAACUCAAUGAGUAUAAUUAAAUAAAAUCAUGUAAUCUUAACUAAACUCAAUAAACAUUUCAUGAGAUUGGAA